RNAcentral lists this ribosomal RNA (270 nucleotides) under uncultured prokaryote. RNAcentral describes it as "partial 16S ribosomal RNA". It matches the Rfam family "Bacterial small subunit ribosomal RNA", at positions 524 to 792 of the family's 1533-position model. The record is from RNAcentral.
UACGUAGGGUGCAAGCGUUAUCCGGGAUUAUUGGGCGUAAAGGGUUGCGUAGGCGGUUUGUUAAGUUAUUAGUGAAAUCCUCCGGCUUAACUGGAGGCCCGCUAAUAAUACUGGCAGACUAGAAGCAUGGAGGGGAAAGCGGAACUCUUGGUGUAGGGGUGAAAUCCGUUGAUAUCAAGAGGAACACCAAAGGCGUAGGCAGCUUUCUGGUCAUGUUUUGACGCUGAGGCACGAAAGCGUGGGGAGCGAAACGGAUUAGAUACCCGCGUA